AGAGAGGACAUGCGCGCAUAUCAAUAAGCGGAGGAAAAGAAACUAACUAGGAUUCCCUCAGUAACGGCGAGUGAAGCGGGAAGAGCUCAAAUUUGAAAUCUUCAAGGUUCUACCUUGACGAAUUGUAGUUUAAAGAAGUGUUUUCUGUUGGAGUUUUGGUAAAAGUUCUUUGGAAUAGGACAUCAUAGAGGGUGAGAAUCCCGUAUUUGACCAUUAUUUCCAGCUUUGUGAUACACUUUCAAAGAGUCGGAUUGUUUGGGAAUGCAGUCCAAGAUGGGUGGUAAAUCUCAUCUAAAGCUAAAUAUUGGCGAGAGACCGAUAGCGAACAAGUACCGUGAGGGAAAGAUGAAAAGAACCUUGAAAAGAGAGUUAAACAGUACGUGAAAUUGUCAAAAGGGAAGCGUUUGACACCAGUGUUGUUUUCUCGAAAAUCAAUUAAAAAAGGCAGGAUUUUGUGUUGUAUUGACUUUAUCAGCUUUCUGCACUCUUUUCUUGUCUUUUUUAAUGCACUUUUCGUUUAACAAGUCAACAUCAAUUUCUUUUGUUGUAAAAGGGUCAUUGGAAGGUGGCUUUCUUUUCGGAGAAAGUGUUUAUAGCCUUUGGCCUCUGCAAUCGGAGAGAUUGAGGUCUGCAGCGUAGAUCCUUCGGGGUUAGAUACAUUUGUGCUAAGUUAUAGCCUUUCAUAGACAACUUGUUGACUAUGAUCAGUCAUGUAGCUUACUCGCUUAUGCUAUUUUACCUACGCUUAGGAUGUUGAUGUGAUACUGCGAGCA
RNAcentral lists this ribosomal RNA (773 nucleotides) under uncultured Neocallimastigales. RNAcentral's name for it is "partial large subunit ribosomal RNA". It matches the Rfam family "Eukaryotic large subunit ribosomal RNA", at positions 17 to 639 of the family's 3401-position model. Lineage: Eukaryota; Fungi; Neocallimastigomycota; Neocallimastigomycetes; Neocallimastigales. The record is from RNAcentral.